GUCUGUGGCCUUGCCAUCCCGAACAGGCCCAAUCUUGUAGAUCUCAGAAGCUAAGAAGGGUCAGGUCUGGUUAGUACUUGGAUGGGAGACCACCUAGGAAGACCAGGUGCUCUAGGCA
Ribosomal RNA from Pteropus vampyrus (large flying fox), 118 nucleotides. The record is from Ensembl. NCBI's taxonomy places the organism in Eukaryota, Metazoa, Chordata, Mammalia, Chiroptera, Pteropodidae.